RNAcentral lists this ribosomal RNA (253 nucleotides) under uncultured bacterium. RNAcentral's name for it is "partial 16S ribosomal RNA". It matches the Rfam family "Bacterial small subunit ribosomal RNA", at positions 524 to 776 of the family's 1533-position model. The record is from RNAcentral.
UACAGAGGGUGCGAGCGUUGUCCGGAAUCAUUGGGCGUAAAGAGCGUGUAGGCGGCUCGGUAAGUCCGCUGUGAAAGUCCAGGGCUCAACCCUGGAAUGCCGGUGGAAACUGUCGAGCUAGAGUCCGGAAGAGGCGAGUGGAAUUCCUGGUGUAGCGGUGAAAUGCGCAGAUAUCAGGAGGAACACCGAUGGCGAAGGCAGCUCGCUGGGACGGUACUGACGCUGAGGCGCGAAAGCGUGGGUAGCAAACGGG